RNAcentral lists this ribosomal RNA (274 nucleotides) under uncultured bacterium. Its description in RNAcentral is "partial 16S ribosomal RNA". It matches the Rfam family "Bacterial small subunit ribosomal RNA", at positions 523 to 796 of the family's 1533-position model. The record is from RNAcentral.
AUACGGAGGGUGCAAGCGUUAUUCGGAAUCACUGGGCGUAAAGGACGCGUAGGCGGGUUGGCAAGUCAGAUGUGAAAUCCUACAGCUUAACUGUAGAACUGCAUUGGAAACUUCCAACCUUGAGUAUGGGAGGGGGAGAUGGAAUUAGUGGUGUAGGGGUAAAAUCCGUAGAUAUCACUAGGAAUACCCAAAGCGAAGGCGAUCUCCUGGAACAUUACUGACGCUAAGGCGUGAAAGCGUGGGGAGCAAACGGGAUUAGAAACCCUAGUAGUCC